UGGCUCGUUUAAUUUUCAUAAAAUUUUGUCAAAGUAUUUACUUUGACCCUUUAACGAAAAUAUAAAAAUUUCAAAAAUUUUGAACCAACCUCUUUGUCAGAAUAUUACACUGGUUAUAUAGCAGUUUGACAAACACCAAUUUUGAUCAUUGAGAAGCUUAAUAUUCCCUUUACAACACAACGUAAUUAAAACGUUAAGCUGACUUUACAGAG
This 212-nucleotide long non-coding RNA is filed under the name Mytilus galloprovincialis (Mediterranean mussel). Lineage: Eukaryota; Metazoa; Mollusca; Bivalvia; Mytilida; Mytilidae. The record is from RNAcentral.